ACCAGGACAGGGGCUUUACAAUUGACUGCUUGUGUUCCUGCUGUUUUCAAACAGCAGUGGGACCCCCUGAGCAGAUGCUGUUUAUGAGUUCCCCCUAAUACUUCUUGCCUGUUUCCUUUGAGUGGAACCUUUGAAUGGGAAGCUUAUGGAGAAGAAACAAUGUUUUGAACAUGCUCGGCCUCUUUCUUCAGAGGCUCACCAGAACAGGUGGAGCACAGUGAGACUGUACUUGACCCACCCACUCGAUCACCCUGUGAUUUGGAGUCAGAUUUCUGUCAGUAACAUCAGACUCCACAUCACAAAACCAGAGAACACGACUGCACAGAAUCAUUUGAGCCUUGAAAUUUUAUUACCUUGUUUGCAUCAACCAGUUAUUCCUUUCAGCACCAAUAGAAGACAAAAACCCCUCCAUAUUAUUUAAAAUACCUUGUUUUUAUCAGGUCUGAGAUUGUGGUUUUCUUGCAGAUAAAGAAACCAAUGAAAAUACUUAA
Long non-coding RNA from Empidonax traillii (willow flycatcher), 491 nucleotides. RefSeq lists it as uncharacterized. The record is from RefSeq and is a predicted model, not a curated record. Lineage: Eukaryota; Metazoa; Chordata; Aves; Passeriformes; Tyrannidae. The transcript has 2 exons.